CCAGAGGCUAUAUUUAUUCGAUUGGUGACUUAUGGUCGGGUUCUUAUUAACAAACACACUGACUAGAGCGAGUACAUCGAUGUUGAUAUCAACGAUUGUUCAAUCAGUGAUGAUGAAGAGCGAUUAAGAACAAUGACGGGAAGGAUCAAACGGUUUAAUGAACAACAAGAUAAACCCUCAAAGUCACAACCUGCUUUGUCUGAUUUCUCUCCUCUUUGUUUC
Helianthus annuus (common sunflower) is the source of this 222-nucleotide long non-coding RNA. RefSeq lists it as uncharacterized. The record is from RefSeq and is a predicted model, not a curated record. NCBI's taxonomy places the organism in Eukaryota, Viridiplantae, Streptophyta, Magnoliopsida, Asterales, Asteraceae. The transcript has 3 exons.